Molecule: RNA transcript, 782 nt
Organism: Panicum virgatum (switchgrass)
Lineage: Eukaryota; Viridiplantae; Streptophyta; Magnoliopsida; Poales; Poaceae
Gene name: aspartate--tRNA ligase 1, cytoplasmic-like
Exons: 2
Source: RefSeq, a predicted model, not a curated record
AUGAACGAACUCUAAUUUGACGAUACUUUUUUCUGCUGAUUCUGAUCAAAUUUGUUACUGCUAACCGAACCUGCUUAUGCAUCUUUCAUCAGUCACCAUUCACCUCGUAUGAUCUGUAGUUCAUCGAGCACUUUGCAUUUGAAUUGUAAAACUAAAACCGAGCCUGCUGAACCUUUUGCAGCUUAUAAGAACCGCUGCCUCCGGUGUAUGCACAUGAUCUUACUCCAACCUUUUGCAGCUUAUCAGCUUCUAUUUUCUGUUGCAGGAGAGUUUAGUUUAUGUUGAGUCAUGCUGCUUGUUUGCUAUGCUGAUAUCAAGUGCAGUUUUCCAACCAUGCCUACACAAAUUAGGAACGUCUAGGCUCUACUUCUGUUUUGUUACAAUGCUUAUCUAAUAAACAUCACUUACUUCUGGUGAAUUGGUUGUACAUUCUAAUUUCAGAUACUAUCAUGAUUUGUUUGGCAAAGAAUACUGGGUGUGUGGUACUCAAUUCCCGACUAUGCCCACAUAUCUCCAUAGUGGCAAGAUCUUGUUUUUAGAGGAUCGACAUCACGGAGAUAAGAAAUCAUCCCUGUUUCAGGGAGAACCACCCAGCUGACCUAAUGGAGCAAUGGACGACAACACAGUGUGUGACCGGUAUGAGGAGCCAUGGAUGAGAUAUGCAUAUUUUAUACUGGCUGAGCCGAUCACACUAGCAAACAUAUCUUUUUAUACAUAGAAAUAUUUUUAUUCAGUUUAUUUUAGUAUCAUCAAGCAUCUCUCAACUAUGUGAUUGUUUCAUC